ACGCUGGCGGCGUGCCUAACACAUGCAAGUCGAGCGAGAAGUAAAGAAAUGAAGCUUCGGUAGAUUUUCAUUAUGGAAAGCGGCGGACGGGUGAGUAACGCGUAGGCAACCUGCCCUGUACAGGGGGAUAGCCACCCGAAAAGGUGAUUAAUACCCCAUGAUGCAAGAGAUACACAUGUAUCACUUGUCAAAGAUUUAUCGGUAUGGGAUGGGCCUGCGUCUGAUUAGCUAGUUGGUAGGGUAACGGCUUACCAAGGCAACGAUCAGUAGCCGACCUGAGAGGGUGAUCGGCCACAUUGGAACUGAGACACGGUCCAAACUCCUACGGGAGGCAGCAGUGGGGAAUAUUGCACAAUGGGGGAAACCCUGAUGCAGCAACGCCGCGUGAAGGAAGAAGGCCUUCGGGUUGUAAACUUCUGUCCUAGGGGAAGAAACAAAUGACAUUACCCUUGGAGGAAGCCCCGGCUAACUACGUGCCAGCAGCCGCGGUAAUACGUAGGGGGCGAGCGUUAUCCGGAAUUAUUGGGCGUAAAGAGUGCGUAGGUGGCAUCUUAAGCGCAGGGUUUAAGGCAAUGGCUCAACCAUUGUUCGCCUUGCGAACUGGGGUGCUUGAGUGCAGGAGGGGAAAGUGGAAUUCCUAGUGUAGCGGUGAAAUGCGUAGAUAUUAGGAGGAACACCAGUGGCGAAGGCGACUUUCUGGACUGUUACUGACACUGAGGCACGAAAGCGUGGGGAGCAAACAGGAUUAGAUACCCUGGUAGUCCACGCCGUAAACGAUGAGCACUAGGUGUCGGGGUCGCAAGACUUCGGUGCCGCAGUUAACGCAUUAAGUGCUCCGCCUGGGGAGUACGCACGCAAGUGUAAAACUCAAAGGAAUUGACGGGGACCCGCACAAGCAGCGGAGCAUGU
This 909-nucleotide ribosomal RNA is filed under the name uncultured bacterium. Its description in RNAcentral is "bacterial SSU rRNA". It matches the Rfam family "Bacterial small subunit ribosomal RNA", at positions 33 to 942 of the family's 1533-position model. The record is from RNAcentral.